Lagopus leucura (white-tailed ptarmigan) is the source of this 1724-nucleotide long non-coding RNA. RefSeq lists it as uncharacterized. Lineage: Eukaryota; Metazoa; Chordata; Aves; Galliformes; Phasianidae. The transcript is spliced from 4 exons. The record is from RefSeq and is a predicted model, not a curated record.
CCAAAUAAUAAACAAAAAUAUGCUGUCAUCUUCAACCUCUUGUGGGAUGGAGGAGAAGUCUGACAACUUAACUUGGCUUUGCUAUCCCUCAUGGGCAAGCGUGCUUCCUUUCCUUCCUCUGAUGCAUUGCAAGCGUAAUGUGUCUUGUCCUGCUGCCAAUACCACACAAUAGAUUACAGUGCUUUUCUGAGCAGAGAUACUGGUAUUUUAAUGGCAGAACUGAGUGUAGUUGCUGUGCGGUGAGAAGAAGCAUCUAAACUCUGUCCCUGCAACACCAAAUGCUUCUGUCUGUCAUAUAAAGUUACUGAUCACUCUCAGCCACUCAAGUGUACCUUCGCAUUAACUGCUGUCAUCAGGGCAUUCUGGAAGCCAGUGUACCACAGGUGGCCAGUGGAUAGCUGAAAGCUGUCACCUACUACACAGGUAACAGACAUUCCUCCACACAGUCCUUGAGGAACGCUGAAAUUUCAAGGAAGAGAAUCAAAGGCACAACGCUUGCAAUGAAGGGAGCCGGCACUCAGCCUGCUGCUGGACAGACCUCUCAUCUCCCUCUCGUGCUGCCUCUGCUGUGGAUCAGUGCUGCAGGGGCUCAGGCUGCCAUUCUCAGACACUACACCAGCGGCAUUAAUGCAGCCGGGGCACUGACAAGCUGAGCUAAGACUUGCAGCAGCGCUGCUUCAACUCAAAGUAACGUGUGGUGCAAAAAAAAAAAGUCUCUUCUUGGCAGAGGACAACACAAAGCUGUAAGAGGGCAAACAGAUGGGGACUGCCUCUACCCUGGUCAGGAAAAAUAGAAGUGUCGUUUGUGAAAAACCCCUGGCAUUUCAAGAGCUGCAUUCCAUUGUGUCAGACAAAAUGAGACCUUUCACAGCUUACCGAUGGGUGGGUGAGCAGUGAAGCUGGGGCUGGCCCAGCCCAGGUGAGCGCCCUCUGGCACUGACUGCAGGGCACUCAGACUCGUGCUCUCUGGCCUCGUGCACCUCCUGGAGAAAUCUGUUUUCAAAAAAGUCACCUUUGAGGAAGCAUUUCUGCAUGGCAAGUACAACUUCUAUCAGGAAAGCUGCUUGAAGCGCUCCUGAUCAGAUGGUGUGUGCUUUCUGAUGGGCUUUUCUUUCUCGGGUGACUUCCAGGAAGAUGUCUUGUCAUCAGUGAGAGCAAUGGGCACAGCUGGAAGCAGGAAACCCACCUUUCAGUGCUGGAUAGUGACUGUAUGCCCUAUGCUAUAUAUCAUCAUCUCUCUGCCUCCAUUUCCGUUCUGCUUCCUAUUUCUCUCCUUUGUAAGACAGAUGCACACUUAUUUAUUUCACCGAGCACCAUGCAGUCCUGGUGUCAUUUGGCAUCUGUGGAUGCUACAGUAAUAGGAAUAGUCAUUACAAAGCAUUUUCUGAUAUUAAACAAAUUACAUAAAGAGAAAAUAAAGUACAAAACACAAGUGGUAACUCACAGAAAUCAUUAUGUACAUUGUUCUUGUUGGAAAACCUAUCUGAAUGUCAGUGAGCUGAAUGUCAGACGCUGGAUGGGGUGUCCUGGGGUGCAGGCGAGUGCCAAAGCGAGUGGUAAGGCCUGGCUGGCAUUCCAACACAGGAGCCUUGGGUCAAUGCUGCCACGUCUCUCUCUCAGUAGUCAUAAUUCGCUUCACACUCUACACAGUGUGAGAGUGAACCCUUCGUGAGAAUGCAGAAAUAAGAUGUGUGAAAAAGUGAAUAAAUAUUGCAGUAAUUUCA